GUGAAUCAUCGAAUCUUUGAACGCAAAUUGCACUCUCCGCUAAGAGUAUGCCUGUUUGAGGGUCAGCCUAUAAAAAAUCCACAUCGUUCCUGUUUCACGGUGGCACUCGUCGGAAAUUGGGUCAUCUUACAUCCUUUUGGUUUUUAAGCGACUUAAAAUUUUCUUUUUGUUUCCGUUAACGGUUCUAAGAUUUAUUUCUUUACACGUUUAAGGUAUCGAUUUUUAUUAGACGUGACCAUCAUAUCGGAUCGCGUCCAUAAACUUU
Molecule: unclassified non-coding RNA, 265 nt
Filed under: Glomus sp.
Lineage: Eukaryota; Fungi; Glomeromycota; Glomeromycetes; Glomerales; Glomeraceae
Description: partial contains 5.8S ribosomal RNA and internal transcribed spacer 2
Rfam family: 5.8S ribosomal RNA (bases 1-65)
Source: RNAcentral